This is a long non-coding RNA of Pseudopipra pipra, 290 nucleotides long. RefSeq lists it as uncharacterized. NCBI's taxonomy places the organism in Eukaryota, Metazoa, Chordata, Aves, Passeriformes, Pipridae. The record is from RefSeq and is a predicted model, not a curated record. The transcript is spliced from 3 exons.
GUGGAGAGAGAGAGAAGCCCUCCUGAGGCUGUCAGUUUGCAGAGUGGGCCUGAUGCCCAGAGCUGCAGCCCACUAAUACAACAGCAUAAGAACAGAAAACAUGAAAACCUUCACUUAUCAGUGACACCAAAAUUCAUCUUUGAGAAAUGCCAGGAAAAUAAGGCUUGAGGUGAAUAAAUGGCUGCAGUCACAGUACCCGCUACUACUUUCCUCAGCAGUUUGGUUUUACUUUAUUCUACCAGCUAUAACCAGUGCCUCUAAUAAAGCAAGCAUAAGCUGCUAAAAAAUAA